UCUUGCCUGCGAUAUUCGUUAUCUUUUAUAUGUCCAACCUACUGUUAACAUUAGGGAAUCUAAUGUUAUGUGGAUGUCGGGCCACCUUUGAGUGGAUGGCAAAAGCAUACUAGGAUGCCCACCUGCGAGUCGCAGGUUUGGACAUAUAAAAGAAACGAUAUUGCGGGCUAUAU
This 173-nucleotide non-coding RNA is filed under the name Pelosinus sp. UFO1. RNAcentral describes it as "6S / SsrS RNA". It matches the Rfam family "6S / SsrS RNA". From Rfam's summary of the family: E. coli 6S RNA was the first non coding RNA to be sequenced, but its function was unknown until recently. It consists of 184 nucleotides that fold into an extended hairpin structure with a large single-stranded internal bulge. The 6S RNA specifically associates with RNA polymerase holoenzyme containing the sigma70 specificity factor. The record is from Rfam by way of RNAcentral. Lineage: Bacteria; Bacillati; Bacillota; Negativicutes; Selenomonadales; Sporomusaceae.